RNAcentral lists this ribosomal RNA (279 nucleotides) under uncultured bacterium. RNAcentral's name for it is "partial 16S ribosomal RNA". It matches the Rfam family "Bacterial small subunit ribosomal RNA", at positions 506 to 784 of the family's 1533-position model. The record is from RNAcentral.
UGCCAGCAGCCGCGGUAAUACGGGAGGGGCAAGCGUUAUCCAGAUUAAUUGGGCGUAAAGGGUUCGUAGGCGGUAAUGUAAGUUAUUUGUUAAAUUUUAAAGCUUAACUUUAAAAUAGCAUUUAAUACUAUUUUACUUAGAGUUUUUUUCAGAAAAGUAGAAUUUUAUAAGAAGGGGUGAUACCUGUAGAGAUAUAAAGGAAUAUCAUUAGCGAAAGCGACUUUUUAGUAAAAACUGACGCUGAGGGACGAAAGUGUAGGUAGCAAACAGGAUUAGAUA